Molecule: long non-coding RNA, 638 nt
Organism: Frankliniella occidentalis (western flower thrips)
Lineage: Eukaryota; Metazoa; Arthropoda; Insecta; Thysanoptera; Thripidae
Exons: 2
Source: RefSeq, a predicted model, not a curated record
CUGUGACUGUGUACCAACCUUACAAAAUGUUCUGGUUUCAGCCUGAAUUUACCAAAAGAAUUUGAUGCCUAAUCCCAAGCAUUUAAGUAUUUGUUUAAAAAAAAUUCCUCAUCAAACUUGAUUUCUUUUAAAAUGUGUUUCCAAAGAUAAAUCGUAUUUUUAAAGAAAAAUCAAAUCUCCCGCGUCUUCUGUAAGAAGCUAAGAGUAAAAAAAAAUAAUGCUUUAGUAAUAUUCCGUGUGUACGUUUUCAACUCAUACUGUUCGAACAUAUAGAAUUUACAUGCACAUGUCAUUGCACUGGUUCACUUUUCUGAGUUGUUCUGAUAUGUUGUGAGAAUCGCCCCUAAUCCUUUUAUCCUGCUUCAGACCUGCUCCGUCAUACCUUUUCUUUUGCAUUGACAAUAUUUUGAAUCAGGCUAACAUAGUUUGUCAAUAUUUUAAAAAAUAAAGCGGAUGUGUCAUUAAGCAUCUUUUACAUUUCUGCUGUCAUGAUUGUUACUCAUAGGGAAGGUUUAUGUACUUCAGUAUAUAAAUCUUUCUAAGAAAAAUAGGAUUUAUUGAUUAUGGUUAACAUACAAUAUGUGAACAUUGAAUAUAAACUUACAACUAUAAUUCAAUAAAAAAAUGUCAAAACUUAA